AACGAACGCUGGCGGCAUGCCUAACACAUGCAAGUCGAACGAGACCUUCGGGCCUAGUGGCGCACGGGUGCGUAACGCGUGGGAACCUGCCCUUAGGUUCGGAAUAACUCCCUGAAAGGGGUGCUAAUACCGGAUAAUGUCUUCGGACCAAAGAUUUAUCGCCUUUGGAUGGGCCCGCGUUGGAUUAGCUAGUUGGUAGGGUACAAGCCUACCAAGGCGACGAUCCAUAGCUGGUCUGAGAGGAUGAUCAGCCACACUGGGACUGAGACACGGCCCAGACUCCUACGGGAGGCAGCAGUGGGGAAUAUUGGACGAUGGGCGAAAGCCUGAUCCAGCAAUGCCGCGUGAGUGAUGAAGGCCGUAGGGUUGUAAAGCUCUUUUACCCGGGAUGAUAAUGACAGUACCGGGAGAAUAAGCUCCGGCUAACUCCGUG
This 433-nucleotide ribosomal RNA is filed under the name uncultured bacterium. RNAcentral describes it as "partial 16S ribosomal RNA". It matches the Rfam family "Bacterial small subunit ribosomal RNA", at positions 29 to 507 of the family's 1533-position model. The record is from RNAcentral.